CCGGAGUGAUGUCACGGCGUAUCCGUCACACCCUCGAGACGUGCAAACGGCUCGGGAGAAGAGGUAUGAGGAUCAAAUAUAUAGGAGCUAAAUCUGAUGGUAAAGAUUAGAGAUCUCAAGGUUUGUACCGGUAAAAAAAAAGUCCAUAGAGACUGUUAACCUGGGAUUGUUGGCCUGUGUGGACCAUGGACAGACUUCAGAAGUUUGUGCUUCAUAUACAGGCGGGCUCUCCCAUCAUGCUCCAAAAUGGCUCCAGAGUGCAUG
Long non-coding RNA from Neomonachus schauinslandi (Hawaiian monk seal), 264 nucleotides. RefSeq lists it as uncharacterized. Lineage: Eukaryota; Metazoa; Chordata; Mammalia; Carnivora; Phocidae. The transcript has 3 exons. The record is from RefSeq and is a predicted model, not a curated record.